This is a non-coding RNA of Carica papaya (papaya), 1107 nucleotides long. NCBI's taxonomy places the organism in Eukaryota, Viridiplantae, Streptophyta, Magnoliopsida, Brassicales, Caricaceae. The record is from RefSeq and is a predicted model, not a curated record.
AUCACAGAGCGAACUAUUCUUUCGCCUUUUACUAAAGAAUACCGUGUGCGCGCCGCUUUCAAGCAGCAUACGUUAAUUUUUGGAGAGGCUACUCUUGCUAGAGUGGUCUCUAUAAAAUGAGUUAAAUAUUUCUCUCCUUCAUUGGAGUGUAUGGGGUUAGUGUUUUUUUCCUGAGCCUGUAUCUGGUCCAUUUCAUUGAUCCUCUGAAUCUCUCUGUUAUGUAUUUAUCUGAAUGUCCUUUCAAAUCAUAUGAUUCAACUGAAUUAAUAGUAAGCUGAAAGAAUUAUAAUAUAAACGCAUUAGUUCUACAUAGUGCAUGCUUUCCAUGCGUCAAUUACCGGCAUUGCGAUACGUAAUGCGAGUUGAGAUGAAUGCAAAUAAGAGUUAAAUCCCACACCGGAAGGAUAAAGGAAAUGAUUCGCCUAGCGUGUUAUAAGAAAGGAGACGGAAGGAGUUAUCGAUAUCUUUGCGCUUGGGGCAAUGACGCAGCUAGUGAGGUUCUAACCGAGGCGCGUCAAUUGCUGGUUGAAAACUAUUUCCAAACCCCCUCUUAGGCCUGGGUUCGCCCUAGGCCUCGGAGAAUUUCUGGAAGGGCUCCCUCCGGGGUAAAGCCCUACAAUUUUAGUGAAUGCGGUAGUAACAAGAACAUAAUCCCACACCGAAAGGGCGGAAGAAACGACUCGCCUAGCAUAUUUACGUUAAGGGAGACGAAUUCAGUUAACGGUAUCUUUGCGCUUGGGGCAAUGACGCAGCUAGUGAGGUUCUAACCGAGGCGCGUCUAUUGCUGGUUGAAAACUAUUUCCAAACCCCCUCUUUGGUCUGGGUUUUACCCUAGGCCUUCGAGAAUUUCUGGAAGGGCUCCCUGAGGGGUAAAGCCCUACAAUUUUUACUUGCAAACGUUUUCUGAUUUUAAGGGGUUCCACGCCGCCAUCAUCUAUUUACAUUGACGGCCGAUUGAUCUUGUGAAUUACGACAGAAAACAUGCCCAUGAAUUGACAAGGAUUGCACAGAGCAUAAAGUUUCCUAAUGAUUCUUCAAUAGGCCAAGGUUUUGGCUUAAGCAGGGGGAGGAAAGCGCAGACCGUGGGUGGACAGAUGGCUUGGAAAA